AUAUCUCUCUGUACGGGAAGGAUGAGAAGCUUCUACCAAGGUUCGAUUCGAGCGCAGCGAGAAAGCGUUGCCGCAGGCAACGACCCGAAGGGCGAAGCGCGCAGCGCUGAGUCAUCCUUCCCC
This 123-nucleotide small RNA is filed under the name Salmonella enterica subsp. enterica serovar Typhimurium. RNAcentral's name for it is "partial RtT sRNA". It matches the Rfam family "RtT RNA". From Rfam's summary of the family: This family represents a bacterial cis-regulatory element known as RtT RNA. The exact function of RtT is unknown although it is thought that it may be involved in changing the cellular response in relation to amino acid starvation. Lineage: Bacteria; Pseudomonadati; Pseudomonadota; Gammaproteobacteria; Enterobacterales; Enterobacteriaceae. The record is from RNAcentral.